GACGAACGCUGGCGGCGUGCUUAACACAUGCAAGUCGAGCGGUAAGGCCCUUUCGGGGGUACACGAGCGGCGAACGGGUGAGUAACACGUGGGUGACCUGCCCUCAGCUCUGGGAUAAGCCUGGGAAACCGGGUCUAAUACUGGAUAUGACUCCAUGACGCAUGUUGUGGGGUGGAAAGCCUUGUGCGGCUGAGGAUGGGCCCGCGGCCUAUCAGCUUGUUGGGUGGGGUGANGGCCUACCAAGGCGACGACGGGUAGCCGGCCUGAGAGGGCGACCGGCCACACUGGGACUGAGACACGGCCCAGACUCCUACGGGAGGCAGCAGUGGGGAAUCUUGCGCAAUGGGCGAAAGCCUGACGCAGCGACGCCGCGUGAGGGAUGACGGCCUGGUUGUAACUCUUACU
RNAcentral lists this ribosomal RNA (405 nucleotides) under uncultured bacterium. RNAcentral's name for it is "bacterial SSU rRNA". It matches the Rfam family "Bacterial small subunit ribosomal RNA", at positions 28 to 436 of the family's 1533-position model. The record is from RNAcentral.